Molecule: long non-coding RNA, 540 nt
Filed under: Homo sapiens (human)
Lineage: Eukaryota; Metazoa; Chordata; Mammalia; Primates; Hominidae
Description: non-protein coding lnc-MAGEB16-4:1
Source: RNAcentral
GAAGAAAAGUAACUAAACAUGGGCAAAAGAGACCCUAAGCAGCCAAGAGGCAAAAUGUCAUCAUAUGCAUUUUUUGUGCAAACUGCUCAGGAGGAGCACAAGAAGAAACAACUAGAUGCUUCAGUCAGUUUCUCAGAGUUUUCUAAGAACUGCUCAGAGAGGUGGAAGACCAUGUCUGUUAAAGAGAAAGGAAAAUUUGAAGACAUGGCAAAGGCAGACAAGGCCUGUUAUGAAAGAGAAAUGAAAAUAUAUCCCUACUUAAAGGGGAGACAAAAAAGAAGUUCAAGGAUCUCAAUGCACCUAAGAUGCCUCCUUCGGCCUUUUUUCUGUUCUGUUCUGAGUAUCACCCAAAAACCAAAGGAGAACAUCCUGUCCAGUCCACUAGUGAUAUUGUAAAGAAACUGGGAGGAAUGUGGAAUAACACUGCUGCAGAUGAAAAGCAGCCUCAUGAAAAGAAGGCUGUGAAGCUGAAGGAAAAAUACAAAAAGGAUAUUGCUGCAUAUCAAGCUAAAGGAAAGCCUGAUGCAGCAAAAAAAAGGG